UCAGUAACGUAGCCUAACGCGUGAAGUUGACCGCCCUGGGGAGUACGGUCGCAAGAUUAAAACUCAAAGGAAUUGACGGGGACCCGCACAAGCGGNGGAUGAUGUGGAUUAAUUCGAUGCAACGCGAAAAACCUUACCUACCCUUGACAUGCCACUAACGAAGCAGAGAUGCAUUAGGUGCCCGAAAGGGAAAGUGGACACAGGUGCUGCAUGGCUGUCGUCAGCUCGUGUCGUGAGAUGUUGGGUUAAGUCCCGCAACGAGCGCAACCCUUGUCUCUAGUUGCUACGCAAGAGCACUCUAGAGAGACUGCCGGUGACAAACCGGAGGAAGGUGGGGAUGACGUCAAGUCCUCAUGGCCCUUAUGGGUAGGGCUUCACACGUCAUACAAUGGUGCGUACAGAGGGUUGCCAACCCGCGAGGGGGAGCUAAUCCCAGAAAACGCAUCGUAGUCCGGAUCGUAGUCUGCAACUCGACUACGUGAAGCUGGAAUCGCUAGUAAUCGCGGAUCAGCAU
Molecule: ribosomal RNA, 514 nt
Filed under: uncultured bacterium
Lineage: Bacteria
Description: bacterial SSU rRNA
Rfam family: Bacterial small subunit ribosomal RNA
Source: RNAcentral